GAUGAACGCUGGCGGCGUGCCUAAUACAUGCAAGUCGAACGAACGGGCCAGGCGCUUGCUUCUCUGAUGUUAGCGGCGGACGGGUGAGUAACACGUGGAUAACCUACCUAUCAGACUGGGAUAACUACGGGAAACCGUAUCUAACACCGGAUAAUAUUUUGCACCACGUGGUUCAAAAGUGAAAGACGGUCUUGCUGUCAGUUAUAGCUGGAUCCGGGCUGUAUUAUCUAGUUGUGAAGGUAAUGGCUUACCAAGGCAACUAGGCAUAGACGACCGCCGAGGGUGAUCGGCGACAUGGGAGCUGAGACAGCGUCCAGACUCCUGCGGGAGGCAGCAGUAGGGAAUCUUACGCAACGGGGGAAAGCAUGACGGAGUAACGGGGCGCGAGUGAUGACGGUGUUCGGAGCGGAAAGACGGGUUAUGAGGGAAGAACAGAUGUGUACGUAACUGUGCAGAUAGUGACGGUACUGAAUCAGAAAGCCACGGCUAACUACGUG
RNAcentral lists this ribosomal RNA (497 nucleotides) under uncultured bacterium. Its description in RNAcentral is "partial 16S ribosomal RNA". It matches the Rfam family "Bacterial small subunit ribosomal RNA", at positions 28 to 507 of the family's 1533-position model. The record is from RNAcentral.